RNAcentral lists this ribosomal RNA (253 nucleotides) under uncultured bacterium. RNAcentral's name for it is "partial 16S ribosomal RNA". It matches the Rfam family "Bacterial small subunit ribosomal RNA", at positions 524 to 776 of the family's 1533-position model. The record is from RNAcentral.
UACAGAGGUCCCAAGCGUUGUUCGGAUUCACUGGGCGUAAAGGGUGCGUAGGUGGCUGGGCAAGUUUGAUGUGAAAUCUCCGGGCUUAACCCGGAAAAUGCAUUGAAUACUGCUUAGCUGGAGGUUUGGAGGGGGGACUGGAAUUCUCGGUGUAGCAGUGAAAUGCGUAGAUAUCGAGAGGAACACCAGUGGCGAAGGCGGCUCACUGGACCGGAACUGACGCUGAUGCGCGAAAGCGUGGGGAGCAAACAGG